UCAUAUCUCAAUGAAUAUUUGUCCAAUUGAUAUGAGGUUUUUUCCAUUGUGUUCCUUGUGAUAUCUAGUAUUUUUUGAUGAUUUUUAUGAAAAUUGUGCACGUGUGGAAUCUGUUUGGGCUUAGGGAAUGUUGAUACAUGUCAUUUGUUGCACCUUGCUUAUUAUUUUGAUUGUGAAAUUCUGAUGCUUAAUCCAAUGGAGCUGAAAAUUUGCAUGCUUAUAC
RNAcentral lists this long non-coding RNA (223 nucleotides) under Lathyrus oleraceus (garden pea). RNAcentral's name for it is "Pisum sativum (pea) long non-coding RNA (PSAT_LNC002681)". The record is from RNAcentral. Lineage: Eukaryota; Viridiplantae; Streptophyta; Magnoliopsida; Fabales; Fabaceae.